This 73-nucleotide transfer RNA is filed under the name Bos taurus (domestic cattle). It matches the Rfam family "tRNA". Rfam says of the family: Transfer RNA (tRNA) molecules are approximately 80 nucleotides in length. Their secondary structure includes four short double-helical elements and three loops (D, anti-codon, and T loops). RNAcentral also lists the same sequence under 2 other names. Lineage: Eukaryota; Metazoa; Chordata; Mammalia; Artiodactyla; Bovidae. The record is from Rfam by way of RNAcentral.
CCCUGGGUGGUUCAGACGGUACAAGCAUCUGUUUGCAAUGCAGGAGACCCAGGUUCGAUCCCUGGGUCGGGAA